Long non-coding RNA from Mesocricetus auratus (golden hamster), 2852 nucleotides. RefSeq lists it as uncharacterized. The transcript is spliced from 3 exons. Lineage: Eukaryota; Metazoa; Chordata; Mammalia; Rodentia; Cricetidae. The record is from RefSeq and is a predicted model, not a curated record.
GACAGCACAAGCCAUGAGAGAAAGUCAGUAAGUAGCAGCACUCCUCAUGGCCUCUGCAUCAGCUCCUGCUGCCAGGUUCCUGCCCAGCUUGCGUUCCUGUCCUGACUUCCUUUGAGGAUGAACAGAAGGGGAAGCAUAAGGCAAGUAAACCCUUUCCUCCCAAAGUUGCUUCUGGCCGUCGUGCUUCUUCAGGUCAGUGAUAACCCUAAGAGAGAAAUUGGCACCAGAAUCGUGGAGUUUCCCUGUGACAGACCUGACUGUGUCGUUUCGGGAAGGACUGCGGAAGGACUUUGUAAAUUUGUGCUAGAGAAGUCUUUAAGUGUUCAAAGCUUGACGGACUGUUCUGUGGGAGGGUUGGAAGACAAUGCCAAGAGCCGUCCAGAUGAUGGAGGCCCGGCUUGUGAAGUUCAGAGAGACGAUGAAGACUGUAUUCCGGCCCUUUGCUCUUCUGAAUUUAAGACUCUACGGUUCUGGUCAGCUGGGGCUGAAGAGUCAGCCAUGACCAACCAGAGAGCAGCACCCCUGAAGCCAAACAACUGCUUUACCAGGACUAUCGGUGUUGGAUAGUUGGAGCCGAGAAAUUGGUGGUGAUAAAGAAGAAACCAGCUUCACCGAUGUGAAAUCUUUCGCAAGGUGUUUCCUCGGGAUCAGUACACAAAAGCUGUGUUGUACAGGUGGCCAAGGUUGUACCUUGUGCUAGCAGCUGAACUUGGUCACGUGAAAGAGUCUCCCAGGUGGUGUCGGUUCUGGAGGCAUGAAAGGGGUCAUGGAGAGCAGAUGGAGCUCCACACUUGGAGAGGCCAGGAGAGGCCUUUGGUGAAAGCGCAGCCCAGUUGCAGCAGAAGACCCCAGAACUUUAGAGAUGCCAAUACCUUGGGAUAACAGCAGCCCUAGAGUGGGGUCCUGCCUGAGUCUAGAUGACGAGCUGGUGCGCUGCAGAGGGCGGAGCCGGGAAGGGACCCAGGCCCUUUGAAGAAACCUGGAAGAUGGUGCAGAAGUUCUGGAAGCUUACAUAGACCAUCACCUCAAAAGGACAUGACAGCACUGGUCUCUGAAGGCAGUAGUCAAGUGCCAUCUUGAAUUGAGACUCAUCAAGGCUCAGCUGCUCUUGGAACAUGACACCAAGGACUAACAACGAGUCAUCAAGAGAUCAGCCGCCAUAACCACUGACAGUUGAGCCAUCAGGGAAAAUUAAUGGAUACAGGGAGGGUCACCAUGAACAUUCAGAGCACAGAAGCCUUGGAUUGAACAAUUAAAGUCAGUGUAUUUGGUAGACCCAUGAUCUGUGGGCAAGAUCCAACCACACGAUAGCCUUAGGAUAAGUGACCCAUCAGACUAGCUGUGAUAUUGAAGCCAAAUGGUGGUCCAAACUCUGGAAUAUGUGGUGUGUACCAUACACUCUACUGUUGGCAGAAUUUGAGAACCCUCAAGUUCCCAGCAACCAUUUGGUUUCUGUAGCAAAAUUGUUUUCAUGGAUAUUAAUGCUGGGAAGACUUUUACCACGUGGUACAAGAACUGUAUAGGACAUCAGGAUUCUGCUUAACUCACCAAUGCCCUCGGGAUAUACCACUUCCCUUUACUACUGGUUACCUGCACGUGUAUGAAGUUAAGGAGUCACUGAAACGGGAUAUAUGACAGAUUCAAAGGAAACUAGGCCUGGGUGGGAGGGGCUAGGAAGAUUCCUGGUAUGCAAUGACAGGAAUCUAAGAAGGGAAGAUUGCUCUGGCAAAUACCGGAUACCGGAUUAGUCUGAGUUCUAGACCAGCAGAAAUUUGUUUUGUUUCUACUCUCUCAGUGAUAGAGGACUAAGCCCUUAUGUGUAGCCUGCCCAGGAAGACCCUUAAUUAAACUGGAUGGCAUGUCAUUCCAAACUGACAGGCAUGUGAAUCAAAGCAGAGAAGCCAAACUGAGAAACAUGAAUAAUCAGGAGAACACAGUGCUCUGGGAGAUUGGACAUCUCAGAUCCUGAGCUAAAAGCGCUGAAAGGGGUUUGAUCCCCAGACAAGGGGUUUGUUUUUACUUUUAGAAAUGUUCAAUGAUUUCAAUUAGGAUAAAAUAAAUGAAGAGAAGAAAUCAAUUUAAUACUUACCUAUGGAACAGGAAUUUAGUUGUGUGGGUGGGAAAUGAAGCAAUGAAAAUGAACUAUUGACAAAAAUGUUGAAUAAGACAACCAAUCAAGGAAAAGGUGAGGGGGUCUUACAAGAUGGCUCAGAGAGUCAAAGCACCUGCUUCAUAAGCCCAGUGCCCUUAAUUCUAUCUCUAGAAUCCACGUAAAGGUGGAAAAAAGAUAACCAAUUAUUCAAAGUUGUCCUCAGGCAUUCACUAUGGAAGGUGUACUCCCCUUUACCAACAGAUAGUAUGAAACAAAAGAAAGAAUAUCUGGAAGGUUGAAGAAAUGCUGUUUUGUGACUGUAAUAUCUUAAAAUAUAAAUGUGCAUGGCUACUGCCCUUAUGAACUCUAGGACAUGAUCAAGAAAAGAAACUGCACAGCCAUUAGGCAGAAGAACUGGAAAUAAGCACAGAGGGUUCAUGCGAUGAUUUGUCUUGAUUGACCAAUUGAUGGACUUUAGAAUCACCAUGGAACAAAUCUUUGGGCAUAUCUGUGAAGGAUUACCUAUAUUAGGUUAGUUAAGGUGGGGAGAUACAUCCUGAACAUGGGAAGCAUCAUUCCAUGAGUUGGAGUCUCAGACUACGUAGAAGGCAGAAUGGGAUCUGGGAACGCACAUUCAUCUCUCGGAUUUCUGACUGAAGAUGCAAUGCUACCAGAUGGUUCAAGUUCCCACUGCCAUGACUUGCAUUGUGAUGAACUGUACCCUCAAGCUGUGGGCUAAAAUAAACAUUCCCUUUCUUAA